This 628-nucleotide ribosomal RNA is filed under the name uncultured bacterium. RNAcentral describes it as "bacterial SSU rRNA". It matches the Rfam family "Bacterial small subunit ribosomal RNA", at positions 49 to 698 of the family's 1533-position model. The record is from RNAcentral.
UAACACAUGCAAGUCGAGCGGUAACAGGACUAGCUUGCUAGUUGCUGACGAGCGGCGGACGGGUGCGUAACACGUAGGAAUCUGCCCGGUAGUGGGGGAUAGCCCGGAGAAAUCCGGAUUAAUACCGCAUACGCCUUAAGAGGGAAAGCAGGGGACCCGUUUCUUUUAUAAGGAGCGAACCUUGCGCUAUCGGAUGAGCCUGCGUCGGAUUAGCUUGUUGGUGGGGUAAAGGCCUACCAAGGCGACGAUCCGUAGCUGGUCUGAGAGGAUGAUCAGCCACACUGGGACUGAGACACGGCCCAGACUCCUACGGGAGGCAGCAGUGGGGAAUAUUGCACAAUGGGCGCAAGCCUGAUGCAGCCAUGCCGCGUGUGUGAAGGAGGCCCUAGGGUUGUAAAGCACUUUCAGCGAGGAGGAAAGGGUGUCCGUUAAUACCGGGCAUCUGUGACGUUACACGCAAAAGAAGCACCGGCUAACUCCGUGCCAGCAGCCACGGUAAUACGGAGGGUGCGAGCGAAAAUCAAAAUUACUGGAAGUAAGAAUGCGUAGACGGUUUGUUAAGUUGGAAGGGAGGGUUGGGGCUUAGCAGGGGAUUACAUAUGAGGGGCAUGUACAGAGAGUAAAUACC